GCCGCCCCGGCUUGCCGGAAAAUCCAACUAUUUCCAAAAAUUCUCAAAAAAAUACAAAAUUGAAGAUCUCAAUGAGUAGAGCAACUUUCAUACAUGUGGCCAAGGCCAAUUUGGCCUGGAAACACUUCAAAUUCAUCAAAUUCCGUGCGGACCCUAUAAUUGGGUGAGUUCCAAUUCGACCUUCAAAUCAACUCUACCGUCCAAAUCAAAGCUUGGGAUUUGUUCCAGGUCCUAAGGGAAUACUAAUGGUGUUAGUAAUUGAAAGAAAACAUUUCAAGAUUUGAAGAAUUUGGACAAGAAGGUCGCGGCACCCGUGUGGGUGUUCUUCGUGAAAUCACCACGAAAUUUCAUGAUUUUUUGGGUGAAACAUGAAGAGGGAAGGCCUAGGUGUUGAUUGGAAGUGGUACCUUGAUCCAAUUUGUGAGAAAUCCGGUGAAAAUCGCCAAAAUUUGGGUGUGGGUGUCGCGGGUAAACGGGUUGGGGGAAAACCCGUUUUCUGAUCUUCUCUCCUCCGCUUCUCGCCCUCUCUCCUUUCCUCCUUUCCUCUGUUCCGAUUGGUCGGCUUCUCCCUCUCUCAAUCCCUCCUGAUGCCUUCUUCUCUCUUGUCCCGAUUGGGCAUUUCUGCCCAAUCUCCUUCCUCUGUUUCUUCCUCUCACGCACACACACACAAAAACCUUCUUUCACUUAUAUUUAUUUAUUUUUGUUUUCCUUACAUCCAAGCUAUCCAUUUAAUUCUUCAUUAAAUCUGGGCCAUCCAAAUUUUAAUAAUAAAAUUUAUAAAAUGCCCAAACUUCAAACUUUAAAAUCUUUUUCGUUAUAACUCCAAAUAACGAAUCGUCAGCGUCCGCACGUCCGUAGCGACGAGUACUACGAGGAUAUGUCAAGAAAACAAAUCUUAGAUGGCAUGACACAACGAUUAAUCUCGAAUAAUGCGCGUACCUCAAAGGGCAUUUUUGUAAAAUCCUUUAUUAAAACUUUAAAACUCUUAAAAUCAGGGACGGGCUGUCACACUGGUAGCCAAGUUUCCAAAGUAACAAAACUUCACCAUUUUCCUUUCUAAGUGGUAGCCCAAAACUCCUUUUUCAUGUGUAUUUGUUAUGAAAGUUGUUAGGCCCAAAGAAGAUGAGGCCUAGGCAAUUUUUUUUUUUGAAUUUUCGAAUUUUUGAAUUUUUGAAUUUCUGAAUUUUCGAAUUUCUGAAUUUCUGAAUUUUC
Molecule: long non-coding RNA, 1212 nt
Filed under: Malus domestica (apple)
Lineage: Eukaryota; Viridiplantae; Streptophyta; Magnoliopsida; Rosales; Rosaceae
Description: long non-coding RNA (MDOM_LNC021017)
Source: RNAcentral